Molecule: non-coding RNA, 29 nt
Filed under: Bombyx mori (domestic silkworm)
Lineage: Eukaryota; Metazoa; Arthropoda; Insecta; Lepidoptera; Bombycidae
Source: RNAcentral
UAGAUCUCGAUAAUAAUACAGUGUGCGGC